RNAcentral lists this ribosomal RNA (443 nucleotides) under uncultured bacterium. Its description in RNAcentral is "bacterial SSU rRNA". It matches the Rfam family "Bacterial small subunit ribosomal RNA", at positions 29 to 507 of the family's 1533-position model. The record is from RNAcentral.
AAUGAACGUUGGCGGCAGGCUUAACACAUGCAAGUCGAACGAAAAGCAAUCUUCGGAUUGUGGAUUCGUGGCGGACGGGUGAGUAUAACAUGGAAAUCUACCGAGCAGUGGGGGAUAACAGUUGGAAACGACUGAUAAUACCGCAUACGCCAUAUUGGGAAAACUAAGGUGCUGUUCGAUGAGUCCAUGCUGGAUUAGCUAGUUGGUGAGGUAAAGGCUCACCAAGGCUCCGAUCCAUAGCUGGUUUGAGAGGAUGAUCAGCCACACUGGGACUGAGACACGGCCCAGACUCCUACGGGAGGCAGCAGUGAGGAAUAUUGCACAAUGGAGGAAACUCUGAUGCAGCCAUGCCGCGUGAAUGAAGAAGGUUUUAGGAUUGUAAGGUUCUUUCAGUGGUGAGAAUAGUGAUGUUAACCACAGAAGAAGUCCCGGCUAACUCCGUG